This 1609-nucleotide long non-coding RNA is filed under the name Homo sapiens (human). Its description in RNAcentral is "HSALNT0089114". The record is from RNAcentral. Lineage: Eukaryota; Metazoa; Chordata; Mammalia; Primates; Hominidae.
CUGGCUAAGUUUUCAUCCGUGGCAGGAACAAAUUCCAGUAUUAUUUAAUGAAUGUUGAUGGUACAAAGCCCAAAUCCCAUAAAACCCUCUUGGCUGGACUGAUUACAGUUUACUACAGCAAAAAGCGGGGAAAAAGAGAGGAUACAAGAACUUUUUUCGGCUCUUCCAUAGUUCAUGGAUAAUCUCCUCGAAAUGUUUCAUGCAGACGGCUCUGCCCAGUAUUUGGGCUGUAAAAACAUCGUGUCAGACAGUUUGGAAGACGUUGUAAACAACCUAAAUGUCCGUCAAAAGAAAAUGAGUAGAUAAGAAAGCUGAGGUCACAAAAAGGAAAGUGACUGGUCCAAGUUGAAAUUGAUCGUAAUUAGCAGAGCCAGAAGUUGAAACCAGUUCUGUUUUAUUAUAAAUCCACACCACACUUUGGAUCACACAUCAUCAGUGGCCCAAACUCUCAGCUCUUGCAAAUAAAAAUAAAUCAACAGUUUUUAGUGUCAAGUCUCUGUACAACAUGUGCUGGUCCACAUUUCAUGCCUUGGGGCUAGUUAUUGCCUUGUAUUAAUUAUUAUCUUUCAUGUAGACUUUGCCUCCUAAGUAGUAACUAAAUUGCUAACUCUUUAUAGUCAAAAAUAUGUGUUUUCCAUCUUUGUGCCCCACACUUAGAAGAGCUUUUUGCACAUUUAGGUGAUUUUUAGAUCACCACGAUAAUGAUAGUAGCUUUCUGCCUCUCUAGACUGCCCAACAAUCUCUGGACAAAUCAGGCCUCUCUGCCUAUAAAGAUGUGAUGCAGGCUGGCUGCAGUGGUUCAUGAGUAUAAUCCCAGCACUUUGGGAGGCCAAGGCAGAAGGAUCAGUUGGGGCUAGGAGUUCAAGAUCAGCCUGGGCAACAUAGUGAGAACCUAUCUCUACAAAAAAUGUUUGUUUAAUUUGCCAGAGUUCAAGGCUGCAGUGAGCUAUGAUCACUGCACUCCAGCUUGGGUGACACAGCAAGAGAAGAAAGAGAAAGAAAGGAAAGAAAGAAAGAGAGAAAGAGAGAGAGUGUGUAAGACAGCGAGAGAGAGAGAGAAAGGAGGGAAGGGAAGGGGAAGGGAAGGGAAAGGGGAAGGGAAGGAGAAGGGAGGGGAGGGGAGGGGAAGGGAAGGGAGGGGAGGGGAGGGGAAGGGAAGGGAAGGGAAGGGAAGGGAAGGGAAGGGAAGGGAAGGGAAGGGAAGGGGCAAACAUGUUUCUCACAGGAUUCUUUACACAGGCAAAUAGGAAGCAGCUCAAAUACCCCACAGGAAAAGAGAAGUUAAAUGAACUAUGAACUAUGGGACAUCUGCAUGAGAGAAUGUUACACAACUAUUUAACAUCAUGUUUUCAGAAACUACUGAAUAAGAGGAAAAUGUUUACCAAAUAUUGUGAUGCCUUUUGCAUUUAUAGCAAAGGAAAAAAAAAGCUUAGAGAAAAAUACAACAAAAUGUCAACUUUUGUUAUCUCUGAGGGGAAUAAAAUACAGAGAACUUUUAUUUUCUCUUUCUGAACAUUAACUUCUUUUCUGGUAAUCCUUGGGGCCACUCAUUUCAACAUGUUAGCUUCAUUUCUCUUCACCUAUAAAAAUAGGAGCAAUAUUAGUUUCC